UCAUAAUGAUUAAAGAAAAAAGAAGAAUAAAGUAAUUCUCCUUAUUUCACUUGCCGUCCCGUACCCCCACUUAGUUUCAUGUUAUGUUUCUCGAUACAUUGUGCUAGAAAGAGAUACCGCAAACCAGUCGAAGAGAUCUUGUCGUCAGUGGUGGCGGAGUGAGGGCUCACUCUAUGUUAAUAUAUACCUCUAUGCAUUUAAAGAACAACAUAACCCAUAAUACUUAACAUAAACCAUAGUACAACAUGAAAGUGAAAUUAGAAAUACUAUGUUAUAAGGGAGUUAAGGAGUUGUUAAAUACUUUUGCAUAUUAUGGGUAUACGAAAUGGAGAAUUUAUGGACAAUGUAUCUGUUAGGGAGCAGUUGAAGUGCUGUGUAAUUAAUCACAAAUUGCUUCAAGAGCUGUUAUUGAAAGAACAUUUUGUAUUUUGAAGAGAAGAUUUCCAAUAUUAAUAUGUGAAAUAAGAUGCAAGUUAUAUUUAAAGAAUAAUAUGAGCUUGUUCAGUUUUACUAGUUUUACAGUUUCAUUGAAAUUUGCACUAACAAAUAUGAAGGUGGUGCGAUUUAAUCGAACAAGCUUUGUUGUUUAUUUGGGUUUAUAUUUAUGACUGCCGACACUAAAUCCAUUCGCCAAAUCGAACAUGCUGUGGCAGUACAUUUUCAAACAGGAGCAAAUCUAGUGCAACUACAUUUUGUGUGUGUUUGUUUGUGGUAAAAUUAUUCGCAAUUUAAGGCAAGUUUAAAUGGUUAAUGUUGAUAAUUUUAUUUGGUUCUAGUUUACUGAAUGGGUAGACGGAUUACGGAUAUGAAAUUUAUACCAAUGAAUUCUGUUUCACUUACUGAUAAUUGUACAAUAAUUUUUUAUUGGGGGCGGGCGUUACUUUUCAUGUAAUUGCAAUUUAAAAUAUGUCUUAUUUUUAAAAAUCGCCGCCAUUUUCCGCCAUUAUAUACCAUGAAACAACAAGAAACGACAGGAAUGACAACCGUUUUAUAAACGCAAGAAGGAGAAUCCUAACAGUGUUGCCAUAGUUAUAUAAAAUAUGUUUUCUUAUGAAAAUUACAAUUUUUCAAUUCUUAAAUAUGUCAUUUUACUUAUUCUGACGCAUUUUUAACACAAAAUGACUGCUUUAUUACAAGGGUCAGGUUAGUUCUGGUUAGGUUUCGUUACGUUAGGUUAGAUUACAUCAAGUUUAUUAAUAUUAUAGUGAUUUAUGAUUAUAUUUUAAUAAAUAAAUUCUGUGGGAUUCCCAGAAUACACUUUCAAGGUUGGAAUGAAAUUUUGUGUAUUUCAUGGUUAUGUACUGUCACUGAUUUCGGGAAACCAUGUUGCCAUGUGAAUGACAAAAGAUAAUUUCACAUGAAAACAUCGAUUUUUGUCCAUUUAAGCGUACCAUUGAUUUGGAAUAUUUAUGCAAACCUCUAAAUUUGGCAACUGUUUUUGAAAAAUUGGUAGAUGCAUGCAUUGACGCAUUUUUUAAACAGUUUAUUGUUAGUUUUUAGUUUGUUAGGUCGGUUGUUUGUGCUGCGCCCUGGAUUUGGGCGUUGUCUGUUGCAUCAUAUACAAAUUUGUGAAAGUGAAGUUAGUUUAUCGGGUUUGGACCGAAGGGUUAGGCCUUCCUCCUUUCAGACCGCCUGCGCCCAAUUGCAAUCUGCCCAGUUUAUCAUUAAAUAAAGGUGAAGUGAGACUAAAUGGUGUGUAGGUGUUACGAAAGUAAAUUUAAGUACAAUUAAGGUGUGGCUUUAAUACCUAUAUUCACAAAGAAAAGGCCUCUUUCGAAGCUAGUAAACUGCAGGCAGAGGAAAUAAAUAUGUUGGUGGCAACUUUUAUUACAUUUAAAGCCACGAAUUUGGCUUUGGACUCUCAAAUUGCAUCGAUCUAUAGCUGUUUUG
RNAcentral lists this long non-coding RNA (1890 nucleotides) under Diabrotica virgifera virgifera (western corn rootworm). RNAcentral's name for it is "uncharacterized LOC126885147". Lineage: Eukaryota; Metazoa; Arthropoda; Insecta; Coleoptera; Chrysomelidae. The record is from RNAcentral.